CUUCCUGAAGCAGUGAGACGGUUGUGUGGCCAGCUCGACUUAUCCCUUUCUUUGGCCCCAAACUCAUAUCACAGCUUCCCAUUUAUCCCACCUAGCUUGACGGCAGUUGACGAAAGUAGCCUUGGAAAUGUUUGUAAAAAGCCAAUUCCUGGAGAGCAGAGUAAGGGGGAAGAACGAAUCUGUUUUUUGAAUCUCCAAGGUUUCAAAGCAUGGAUAACUGAAGAUUCAUUAACUUAAGCACUAAUGAGUUUCUAAAUAAAGUUGAGAACUUCAGUUCACUACCCUCAUCGAGAAAAUUAUGGUCAAGUGUUGAGAAGGCACCCAGGGCUCUCCACCUGACUCCAUUCUUCACAUUCUCCCCCAGCACAGAAAUGGCCACAGGGAAAGCCUUCUAUCAAACUCUGUGACAUCUUGGUAAAUAUGUAAUUAUACAUGCAGCAUCUUCAUAUGUUCUUUUCAGCAACAAAUUAAUAUAAACCAGAUGUGCAGUGAGCCAGAGUACGCUCAGGAGGUUGUCCUGAGAAAGUAAAGACACAUUGAUUUAGAGUACACACCUGCAGUUCUUGCUGCUGUGUGCUCUUCUGCUGCAGCUUUGACGUCAGCUGCUUAAGGGAAGCCUCAGCUUCCCAAAUCCUCUCUUGUUGAUUAAGUAGAGGAACUCUGGGUCAAUAAGGUCAUCUAAUCACCUCAUUGCAAAGCCCAGAGAAUCAGGGAAUGGCGUCUUCCUAUAAGAGGUCACUAAACCCCACCUAGUGUUUAACAUGACCUGCUUGCUUUAUAGUGAGCUUGAAACAAUCGCUUCUAGUUAUUUAUGAAAAUAUAGAUGCAGAAAAUGUAAGAACAGGGAGGAAGAUUUGAAAGGUUGUGAGUAAAAUAUCACCUUGCUCUGCUCUCUCCGUAAGUCAAGAAAUAAAGGCUUUCACUCUAAACAGGAUCAUGUAUGUAAGACACUUAAAACAGAGAUAAAGAAAAAUGGCUUUAUUAAAUCAACAAAUAGUCAAAGAAAAGGAUUGAAAUCUUGGGGUUUAAAUUAUUUAUGAGAAUAAUCCCAAACCAUAGCCAAACGAAGCACUAGACACUUCUUACAUCAAAAGGGUUUUUGUUGAUUUUUAAAAUUUCCUUGUUUUGCUGCUAAAGAGCUGAGUGGAACUUUACUUUAUAACUGGUGAAAUACGCAUAGUUAGAACAUUCUUCUUAAGUAUUAAAUGUCUAAUAAUUAUUGAGGAUAUUGGCAAUAACUCCAUCCCACCUUAAACUCUGAUUUUUUCAGGUUUUAGUUAUGUCCAUUCAAAUCAAUGCAUUUAGAUUAUAAUUCAAAAUUUUCCUUCAAAUAAUAUUUUAUUAAUAAAGAUUUUGUUAACCCAUCACCCGUUUUUUAUCAUUAUUGGUUCUUUUGUAUAAAGAAAUUGCAAUUUCAUAUAAAGCAUACAAUGUCCAAGGUGGAGUUAUUUACGCACCUAGUAAGGCAGGCAAUUUGAGUUCUUUUUCUCUUGGUCAGGAUGAACUUGGACUUCCUCCUUUUAAUCAAUAACCCAAGAAUAUUUUGGCAAUGAAAGUGAUAGGUCCCAAAGAAGCUAUAGGCCACAGGGGAAAACACGCCCAUAUAGAAAAGAGCUGUAAAUGGGGAUUAUAGAAUAUGCAUUCUCUUAAGAUAUGAAAAUUAGAGUGCUCUCCAGUGCUGUCCGUCUCCUCUUGAUGCAGCUAUGAGUCCUGAGAAGAAUACUCGGCUCUGCUGAACUUCUCUCCUUCCUUUAGCAGACAUCACUGGGACCCUGUGUUCUUCCAUUUCCUCUUCUAAUAAAAUAGAAUAAUACCAUCUUCUUCCACAAAUAUGAAGAGUGAUACAAAUGACAAUGUUUUAUUUUUUAAUCUCUGGACAAGAUAAAUGACUUGAGGACAAGGAAACGCCUAUUUUUUGCUUUCUCUUUUUUUUAAGAAAAAAAGAAAGAAUUAAUUUCGUUUGAAGAAACACAGAUGUCCUCAAAUAGGUCCUGUGUGCCAAAAGAGUUCUUUAGAAAUUCUCUGAUGAGUCAAAAUUCCAAGGUUCUUUCCCAUGUUGGCUUGUGUGGUUCCCUAAUAUUGCUUCGAGUUAGGUCAGAGCGAUAAGGCGUCUCUCACUAAAAUGUUCCUACAGUCCUCUCGGUUGUCAGACAAUUCCCUGAAUUUCGAAUUUCUCCAAAAUCUUACCCCAAUAAGUUGUUUUUUAUUUCCCGCUGAUGCCUGAACAGAGCCAUAAACUAGACAAUGAAGGGAACAAUAUUUGCAAGAAUGUCGAUUGACUCAAAUACUAAUUGGUAAUAUCUGUGUGCAGUAGUUUCCUUCAAUAUAUGUUAUAUUAUACUUAACUAGUCUCCUGUCUAGGAUAUCAGACAUUAGGCAUUUGGACAAUAUUUGUUAUACUUUGUUUAAUUAUCUUUUAUAGAUUAUCAAUAGAGCAUUUUAAAAAAUGAAUACAAAGUGUGUGCAGAGUGCUGCUCCAUAACUGAAUGGUUGUGUAUAAUUUUGUCCUCGGUAAAAUUUCCCAGAGACCCUUCUCUGAAGUAGUCAUUUAAAUGAUAGUGAUCUUUGGACGAUGCUGUUAGGAUUAGAUAAUAAGGGUAUGACUCAUAAACAUGUCAUUUAAACAUGGGAACAAGUAACUAGAACCCACUCUCUAGCCAAAAACCUCUCAUUUUUAUGGGUUUUCCACCCCCACAUGAAUGGCAUACACCUCCAGCCUUUAAACUGGCAGGUUUUCUUAGAAAAAUGACCCAUUCUAUGAUGAAGAAUACCUAAAUCCCACAAGUAAAAGAAGCAGCCUGUUAUUACUCUUCCUGUUCAGCACAUGAAAAGCAGAAGAAUGUGAGAACCAGACCCAACCUGUAAUUUGGUAGCCAAACAACAGAUUUGUGCUGUAACAGGAAAAAUAAAAAUAUAGCUCUACUUUGGUAUUCUUGGCUGAUCUGCCCUGGAGGAGGAGUGAAACUUUGCUUGAUUUUCUUGCUUCCAGAACAAUGUUCUUGUCUGCCACUAGAUUCCAAUUAAAGAAGCUUGUGCACAUGGGGAGUUCAAUGUUUGUUCCCAUUCCGAGUACUGAGAUUAAGGAGGAUAUGGUGUGUGUUUGCUCUGUCACAUGUCAGGCCUUCCUCUGCUGAUGCGCACACUUCCUCUUAGGUGCACUUUAGGAUUGAACUGUUUUAGGCUGUAUAUUUUUUCUCUUUAAGUAAGUGAUAAAAGAAAAACUGAAGCACAUUAAAAUUUUCAAGAGUUAUUUGAACACUUAUCAAUUUGAAUUUGGCAGCUCCAAAGCUGGUUAGAAGUGCUCCACUGACAUGAGCUAGGGGAAAAGUUUUUAUAGAGAAGGCAAGAAGCGAAGUAAAGAAAUCAUUUGAUUGGCUAUAGCAUAGCAGUUGCUUUAGGUGGGAAAACCCAUUUGGCUGUCUGUGAUUGCUUGUUCCUAACUGUCAUUUUGUGAAUUCCAGUGCAUCGUCUCUAACUUAGGUUUUUGUUUGCUCACAUAGGCUACAAGGCAUUAGAGCCACCUCAGUCUAAUGGCCUCCUUGUUUAAUUACUCUAACACAAUUACUCUAAAACAUAGUUACUGCACUAUAGAAGUAAUCAGAGUUCCUCACAUCUGUGAUUGACUACAACUUGCUUAGUGACAGAAAGGACAGAUUUUCCUAGUUCAGUCUACAAUUCAAUAAAAGGGAGAUUGAUGACAGUCCUUGUCUUAUCAAUACCACAGAUACAUAGUAACCCUUUUGAGAAAGGUAAUAUCAUAUUUAGACCUAUUAUUAUAUACACACACAUACACACACCUACACACAUAAAUAGACACACAUAUGUGAAUAUAUACAUAUAUGUAUAUCAUUUAACUGGGAAUAUUUAUAUUUGUCUUGGUCUCUACAACAAUAGCUAUGAAAAACAUGAAGACAGUGUUAUUCUCCGUCAUCGAAGACAAGAUUUUUCUCAUAGAUAAGUGGGGAAAGGGGAAUUUGACACAGUUGUAAGAAAAAUAGCUUUUAAUCCACAAGAAGUCCCCAAAGCACAAAUCAUUCCAUCAAAACGCUGGGAAUCUGAAGCUCCAAAGAGAGACUUGAUCCGUGGCCAAUAGUUCUUUAUCUGGUAAGUGCUCUGGAGUCAAACCGGGGAUUUGGUUCUGAGACCAGCGAGUUCUGUUCAUUCCAGGUUGCCUUGUAACAUGAGGUGUUUGGAUCCCAGGUUGCCUCGUAACCUGAGGUGUAAACCUACUGGUUUCUUAUGUCUGUAUUGUUCCAUUCCAUUGCCCUUUUUAUUGAGUAGUGUGUAUAUACUAAUAGAACCUUUACACUCUAAAACCCUGUGCAAAAUUGUUUCCAUCAUUACAUAGAAUUGUAUCAACAUCAUGAUAUGAUUUUGUGUGCAGUAUGCAUUCAUAAGACAGUAUCACAAGAUCGAUAUUAAAAUAUUUUCCUGAUAGAUGGGAAACCUAAAGAAUCUCUUAGUGGGUUUCAGGAAGAAACAAAGGAUUACUAAUUUUGGCAAGCCUCUGUAUUUAAAAUAUGUGUAGCUAGAUGAGACAAAAGCUAGCUUUGUCCAUCCUUUCUGUAGCUUCACCCUAAAUUGGUGGACUUAACCUCUGUGUAUCUGAAGCACUAAGUUGCGGUUACCUCCCCAUUCACCUCUGCGACUAGGACAGGGGAGGGUGAGGAGAAGUAAAAGACUUCUAUGUUUCAGGAUCAUUGAAGAGGGUUAAUGAGAGCGCCAGAGCUGAGCUAGUGCUUUGAGUUGGUGAGUCUAUGUUACAAGAGCAUUUAGAGAAGAGAUGUGUUUUUAGGGUGUUGAAAGUCUUCCUGAGGCUGGGAAGUAGACUUCAUAUCUCCUCAGCCUCUCCAGUGUAGAUACUCUUAACCUUGAGAGAUGCUGUUAUCGCUCAUGAGGUGGUUCAUGGCUUCUGAAGGUGGGGGCUCAGCAUUAAUAAGUACAGCUGUGGGGGUCACAGUGGCAAGUACCCGUGCCCAGCAGAGAAGGCUCCUGAUGGUUUUGUCAGAUGAACAUAACAGCAAUGUUCAGUGUGCACUGAUGACCAGAGUGCCCUGCUCCAAAUGUUCUGGAAUGACCCAAGAAGAAAUCAUGACUAACUCACAAUAUCCUUCCAGAAAUACAGGAGGGACUUCUGAGAAGAUUGUUUGAUGAUUAAGAGAAAUUAAAAAAAAAAAAAAGCUAAAGACUAAAUUUCAUUCACAUGACAGAAUACCUAGCCCAUUCAGAUGGAUUCUCUUUCCUUCUUUUUGUCUAUGUGCUUAUCCUUCAUCCAAACUUUGAGGUGAGAAGAUAAGUUGGAAAAAAACCCAUGAAAAUAUUUCCUGGCAUCUCCCCCAGGAAUGAGUGAUGAAUAGAGGCUGGAAACAACUCUAAAAGCCAUUUUCUUUGCUCAUGUGAGGUCAUGAGGUUGCUCUGUGCAACUCUCUGGGCACAAGAAUGAAUGAAAAUGGCACAAAACACACCCAAGGUCUAUCAUUGAUUUAAAGUGAUUGAUGGCUGGUCUUGUCUGAUUGUGCUGCAUUUUCAAAACAUCCAUCAUUCCAAACAAACCCUGCACUCCAUAGUCCAAUAUACAGUUACAUGUGGCCAAAGUGUUGAGGAUUUAUUUUUUUCUCAGAGAGCAGUUGGUGGUGGAGUGGGGGCAGAAAGAGAAUGUGUUACUUCCUAUUACAAAACGACAAAACUGUUGUCUGUUAGGAAGAAAGUACUCUGAUGACACAUGCUAAAUUCUUGUUAAGUUUAUGUAGGAGUGUGUUCAUUUCCAUCGAGCAAACCACAUUUUCCACAUUUCCCACACUUUCCUCAGGCUGUGUCUUCCUCAAGCCUCUGCACAAAAUCUAAUAUUUGUCCUCCUUAAAGAAUCAGCCAUUCCUAAUUCCUAGAACAAUCUGGUUUGAGACAGGAAGUUCAUUAUUUUAGAAUAACUGAGAAAUUAUUAUAAAAGUGUUUCAUCCUCCUUACCCAAAACAUAGAUAAAGAAAAGUAUGAAGAAAGAAAAAUCACACAUGAUUACCUCCUAUCCCACAUCUAACCAUAUCCACUCUUUCCUUGAAUGUUUUAACGAGGUCAUUGCAAAACCUUCCAGUACAUGAUGCUUGGGGCAGACAAGGAGUGUUAGCCUCUCCUGACUCACUCUCUUGGGUUCAUAGGGCUGCGCAGGGGUGUGUGCUGGAGCCCUAGGGGUGAGCCCACCCAUUGUGAAUCACCAGUGGUGCUUAUCUCACCCGUGACAUGGCAUCUCCUGCUUACCUCUAAGCUCCAGGGUUGAGCCCAGAAUCUAGCUUUCCUCUCAAGCCCUGAAGUGCCUCCAGUCGCAUGAAAUCUCAGAUCCAUUCCUGCUCUAGGUGCCAUCGUUCCUGGAACUUGCAUUCUUCCUGAGUCAUCAUUCAGAACUCUGUCUUUGUACAGUACUAAGGACCAGGCUUUGCUCUUGCCAGAAGUUGACAAGCUGGUCCUAAAUUCAUUCAAGGGACCCAGAAGAGUCAAAACAGUCUUGAAAAAGAAGAACAAAGUUGAAGGACUCGAACAUACUCUUUUAAAAACUUACUACAAAACUACAGUAAUCAAGACAGCUUGGUAUUGGCAUAAAGAUAAACAUAUAGGCCACUCCACACAGAAAAGCUCCACUGAUGUAGAGAAGACCUCAUUACAGACAAACAAGAUGAUGAGAAUUAAGCAUCCCUAUGGACAAAGCCAAUUAGAAAAGACGAUGGUAACCGAAGCUGUAUAGUAACGUAAACAGUCUGGGAGAGCAACUUCUCAUUUUGGCGUAAUUGAGAGAGGAAAAUGACCCAACUCUAUUUGCUAAAGCUCUUCAGAUCCUGAAGAUUCAGAACUCUAUCUGACAAGCCAAAAUGGGUUAUCCUGAGAAAGAACUUGAAACUAAGAUUUAAGAUGGAUUUCAUAUUCUCUACCUUUGGGUAUUUUUAUUGGAAAGAGCAUGACACGGGUAGAACAGGAAGAAAAGGUGGUCAUCUCCAGGUCUUUGCUCUACAUGAAUUUUCCUGAGUAUCCAGAUACUUAGAAACAUCUGAAUACUUAAAUGGGACUAAUACAAUAUUUGGGUGACUGAAAACAUUGUUUCUUUUACAUAGAAAUAUUUGGACAUUUUGCAUAGGUUAUCUAAAAUAUCAAUGAUAUAAGGUAACAUAUCAAACAUAUGCUUUGUUCUUGGUGUGAUCCUUGUCUUCACUUGCUCGCAUGAUAGUGACUUUAGUUUGGAUGAUGUAGUGGUGCCUAGAUUUCCAACUAUGUCAGAAGAAUGGACUAAUAAUUCCACUCUGGCAGCCUGACUCACUGUAAACCCAUGGCUAAAAAGGCACACAGACCUACAGAGAAUGACAGCAUCAAUGGUAUGUUAUAGAAACUCAUGCUGCACUUCUCAAAAACAAAGUUUUCUGUCUUCACAGCUUUCAAUAUAGCACCUUGCACUGAUACUAAAUUUGCUGAUUGUUUUUUAAACAAGGAAGAAGUAUACAAACAGGGAAAUAAGGUGCCUGCAACACCCCCUGUUGAAAGCUGCAUUACUUAUUCUGCUAGAAUGAGUUUAUAUUGGAUAAAUCUAGUACGACGUGAAAACCCUAUUUCCAGCUGAGACUUAAAGAUGUUUUACUAAAACAUGCUUAAGCAAAUGCAUUUUGACGCCUCACGAGGAAGAUACACACAGAGCUAUCUGUAGAAGUUCAAUAAUUUGUGUAUUGGCAGCUGAAGAAAGAUGUUCUCUUUCUGAUUUGCACUCAAAGAUUUGCAUUGACUUAAUUUAAAAUUCAUGGUAUGCACAGUAGAAAUGGUUAAAUAUGACUUUUGGAUGAUAACUAACAAGGGAAAGUAACUUUUCCUUUCCUGUUCAGUAGUUAGCUAUGCUACUGAAACUCCACAUGCUCACCCAGAAACUGUCCUUUUAGCAGAGGGUCCCUUCACCGUGACAGCCUAAGACAAUGGGACUGCUCCUUCAACUGGCCUCUCUCCACCUUCCAGGAUCCCGAAAGUUUUGAAAUCCACCUCAAGCCCAGGCAGUAGCAAACUGGGAGAGGAAUUGAAGAAGCAAAAAUAAAUAUUAAAGUACAGAAGAAUUAAAUAUUACCUAUUUAAAUGGCAAUUAGGCAGUUGAAAACAAGAUCAUCACACCUGUACAAGAAAAGGCAUACAAGCCCAAAACAUCUGCUGGGAUCCACCUGCCAGGCACCUGUUUUGCUGUUUCAAUGCCAUUUGAUUGCUGGAGAUGUAGAGGCUCUUGUGAGGUAAUGAGUGAUUUUACAUUAUGCAUGAUUGAAAACAGGUGUUCUAAUGCUGUACAAUUCGAUGCAUGAAUAAUUCAGUUUGUUUAGAGCAAGAUCUUUCAAAGAAGUACUGCAUAGGCUUUAUUAUUUCUAUAAACACGAAGGUUAGUUUUUAGAAAAUGCACAACGAUUGUUCCUUUUCAGUCUGCUUGUUUAUGUCAAUUUUUGUGUAAUUUUAUGGAUGAGGAAUAAUAUCUUGAAAGGUAAAAUUGAUCAGACUUAAAACAUGUACGAAGUAAAAUUGAAAGGUCUCUUAGCAAGAGGAAAAACGAUAUUAAAAUUCAAUGUUCUAAGUGAAAAUGCCUGAUUAUUUCCUUCCUGCUUUGCCUGCUUUCUGAUGGUAACAAAACAUUCAUCUGAGAGCUAUAAUUAGGGAGGGGUGAACUAUUUGGGAAAAUAGAGAAUUUGUUUUGUACCUCAGCCCAAACACCAAGCAGAGCCCAGACUUCCUUAAAGAUAGAACUGACGUUAGUCAGCAGCCCUUCCUUCUACUUAGAUCUCGUGAGUUCACAGCCUCUUGUACUCCACUGUAAAGUACCACUGAGAGAGACAAUUGCUUUUGCUCCAAUUCCCACUUCAAGUCUUGUCUACCCUGGCAGCAGUUUAUUAUCAGAAUGUUGUGUUUCAAACAGCAAGUAAAAUCCCCAAACUCCCAAUAUAGACAUGAGAUGUGUUCUCUUAGAGACUUGUUCUCUUGGAGACCAAAGACCCUGUGAUGUCUCAAACUACAUAUCAUUAAAUAGUUAAGAUUUCUGAGGUGUGAGAGAGAGAAAACAUAUUUGCUUCAAUAAGUACUAUUUAAGUAAAGGAAAGACGAAGAGGACAG
Molecule: long non-coding RNA, 9108 nt
Filed under: Equus caballus (horse)
Lineage: Eukaryota; Metazoa; Chordata; Mammalia; Perissodactyla; Equidae
Description: lncRNA (ENSECAG00000047317.1)
Source: RNAcentral